AUUGAACGCUGGCGGCAGGCCUAACACAUGCAAGUCGAGCGGUAGCACAGAGAGCUUGCUCUCGGGUGACGAGCGGCGGACGGGUGAGUAAUGUCUGGGAAACUGCCUGAUGGAGGGGGAUAACUACUGGAAACGGUAGCUAAUACCGCAUAACGUCGCAAGACCAAAGUGGGGGACCUUCGGGCCUCAUGCCAUCAGAUGUGCCCAGAUGGGAUUAGCUAGUAGGUGGGGUAACGGCUCACCUAGGCGACGAUCCCUAGCUGGUCUGAGAGGAUGACCAGCCACACUGGAACUGAGACACGGUCCAGACUCCUACGGGAGGCAGCAGUGGGGAAUAUUGCACAAUGGGCGCAAGCCUGAUGCAGCCAUGCCGCGUGUGUGAAGAAGGCCUUCGGGUUGUAAAGCACUUUCAGCGGGGAAGAAGGCGGUGAGGUUAAUAACCUUGUCGAUUGACGUUACCCGCAGAAGAAGCACCGGCUAACUCCGUGCCAGCAGCCGCGGUAAUACGGAGGGUGCAAGCGUUAAUCGGAAUUACUGGGCGUAAAGCGCACGCAGGCGGUCUGUCAAGUCGGAUGUGAAAUCCCCGGGCUCAACCUGGGAACUGCAUUCGAAACUGGCAGGCUAGAGUCUUGUAGAGGGGGGUAGAAUUCCAGGUGUAGCGGUGAAAUGCGUAGAGAUCUGGAGGAAUACCGGUGGCGAAGGCGGCCCCCUGGACAAAGACUGACGCUCAGGUGCGAAAGCGUGGGGAGCAAACAGGAUUAGAUACCCUGGUAGUCCACGCCGUAAACGAUGUCGAUUUGGAGGUUGUGCCCUUGAGGCGUGGCUUCCGGAGCUAACGCGUUAAAUCGACCGCCUGGGGAGUACGGCCGCAAGGUUAAAACUCAAAUGAAUUGACGGGGGCCCGCACAAGCGGUGGAGCAUGUGGUUUAAUUCGAUGCAACGCGAAGAACCUUACCUGGUCUUGACAUCCACAGAACUUUCCAGAGAUGGAUUGGUGCCUUCGGGAACUGUGAGACAGGUGCUGCAUGGCUGUCGUCAGCUCGUGUUGUGAAAUGUUGGGUUAAGUCCCGCAACGAGCGCAACCCUUAUCCUUUGUUGCCAGCGGUUAGGCCGGGAACUCAAAGGAGACUGCCAGUGAUAAACUGGAGGAAGGUGGGGGUGACGUCAAGUCAUCAUGGCCCUUACGACCAGGGCUACACACGUGCUACAAUGGCAUAUACAAAGAGAAGCGACCUCGCGAGAGCAAGCGGACCUCAUAAAGUAUGUCGUAGUCCGGAUUGGAGUCUGCAACUCGACUCCAUGAAGUCGGAAUCGCUAGUAAUCGUAGAUCAGAAUGCUACGGUGAAUACGUUCCCGGGCCU
Molecule: ribosomal RNA, 1361 nt
Filed under: uncultured bacterium
Lineage: Bacteria
Description: bacterial SSU rRNA
Rfam family: Bacterial small subunit ribosomal RNA
Source: RNAcentral